GCCUAAGUAGCUUAAACACAGAGCAUUGGUCUUGUAAGCCAAAAGUGGGCAUGUGUGCCCCUUAGACA
This 68-nucleotide transfer RNA is filed under the name Liolaemus millcayac. RNAcentral's name for it is "tRNA-Thr". It matches the Rfam family "tRNA". Rfam says of the family: Transfer RNA (tRNA) molecules are approximately 80 nucleotides in length. Their secondary structure includes four short double-helical elements and three loops (D, anti-codon, and T loops). Lineage: Eukaryota; Metazoa; Chordata; Lepidosauria; Squamata. The record is from RNAcentral.